RNAcentral lists this ribosomal RNA (253 nucleotides) under uncultured bacterium. RNAcentral's name for it is "partial 16S ribosomal RNA". It matches the Rfam family "Bacterial small subunit ribosomal RNA", at positions 524 to 776 of the family's 1533-position model. The record is from RNAcentral.
UACGUAGGGCGCAAGCGUUAUCCGGAGUUAUUGGGCGUAAAGAGCUCGUAGGCGGUUUGUCGCGUCUGCCGUGAAAGUCCGGGGCUCAACUCCGGAUCUGCAGUGGGUACGGGCAGGCUAGAGUGCGGUAGGGGAGAAUGGAACUCCUGGUGUAGCGGUGGAAUGCGCAGAUAUCAGGAAGAACACCGAUGGCGAAGGCAGUUCUCUGGGCCGUAACUGACGCUGAGGAGCGAAAGCGUGGGGAGCGAACAGG